This 77-nucleotide transfer RNA is filed under the name Candidatus Pacebacteria bacterium CG2_30_36_39. RNAcentral's name for it is "tRNA-Val". It matches the Rfam family "tRNA". Rfam says of the family: Transfer RNA (tRNA) molecules are approximately 80 nucleotides in length. Their secondary structure includes four short double-helical elements and three loops (D, anti-codon, and T loops). RNAcentral also lists the same sequence under 2 other names. Lineage: Bacteria; Bacillati; Minisyncoccota. The record is from RNAcentral.
GAGCCCGUAGCUCAGUUGGUUAGAGCGCUUCAUUGACAUUGAAGAGGUCAGAGGUUCGAGUCCUCUCGGGCUCACCC